This 421-nucleotide ribosomal RNA is filed under the name uncultured bacterium. RNAcentral's name for it is "bacterial SSU rRNA". It matches the Rfam family "Bacterial small subunit ribosomal RNA", at positions 355 to 774 of the family's 1533-position model. The record is from RNAcentral.
UAAGGAAUAUUGGUCAAUGGACGCAAGUCUGAACCAGCCAUGCCGCGUGAAGGAUGAAGGUCCUCUGGAUUGUAAACUUCUUUUAUCUGGGACGAAAACAGGAUUUUUAUCUCAAUUGACGGUACCAGAGGAAUAAGCACCGGCUAACUCCGUGCCAGCAGCCGCGGUAAUACGGAGGGUGCGAGCGUUAUCCGGAUUUACUGGGUUUAAAGGGUGCGUAGGUGGGCUUAUAAGUCAGUGGUGAAAUCUCCGAGCUUAACUUGGAAACUGCCGUUGAUACUAUAGGUCUUGAAUUAUCUGGAGGUAAGCGGAAUAUGUCAUGUAGCGGUGAAAUGCUUAGAUAUGACAUAGAACACCAAUUGCGAAGGCAGCUUACUACAUAUAAAUUGACGCUGAGGCACGAAAGCGUGGGGAUCAAACA